RNAcentral lists this long non-coding RNA (637 nucleotides) under Rattus norvegicus (Norway rat). RNAcentral describes it as "long non-coding RNA NONRATT015206". The record is from RNAcentral. Lineage: Eukaryota; Metazoa; Chordata; Mammalia; Rodentia; Muridae.
CCCCCGCCCCCCACCCCCCAGUAUACCUUCUCACUUCACAUCUCCUGCUUCUGUGCUGCUUGACUUCUCAGUCUCACUGAGUGAAAGAAACCCUGUAAAUAGCAGGAAGUUGCCUUCUCUUUUUCUCUUUAAGAGAAGACUUGGAAGGUGUGGGGAGGAGAGGCUUGAGCCCUUGAGUACAUGGCCCAGAUGUGGUCAGAGGACAGCUCUGGGAGCCCAUUCCCUGUGGGAUCCAGAGAUUGAGCUCAGGUCACUGGAAUCUGACAGCAAGCGCUUUUACCCACUGAGCUGUCUCAACAGCUGUAAGCUUGUGUGUUUAAAAGGUUUAAUGGCAUCUUCCAAAUGAAUUCCCAAGACUGCUGUCAUCUAAAACUGAGUCUUUCCACUCCUAGUACUGCUUAAUAAUUUUUAAAAUAUUGUAAGUACUUAACCAGAAGCGAGGUGAACCUUGUACUGAAACAGAGAGUCAGUCAUAGGUCCUUCAGCAUCUAAAACAAUCCAUCUCAAGAAUAUUAAAACUUGGUGCAGCUUACUCACCAUGCUUCAAGGAAAGUAACUGAUGAUAUUUUGUUAUAUAACAAUAUACUUUAAAAACCAAAUUGGGGGGUUGGGAGUAGCACCAGCCCUUAAUCCCAGC